This 31-nucleotide non-coding RNA is filed under the name Rattus norvegicus (Norway rat). The record is from RNAcentral. Lineage: Eukaryota; Metazoa; Chordata; Mammalia; Rodentia; Muridae.
UGACAGCUUAUGAUUUAUCUGUUGUGCCAAG